GACGAACGCUGGCGGCGUGCCUAAUACAUGCAAGUUGAGCGCUGAAGGUUGGUACUUGUACCAACUGGAUGAGCAGCGAACGGGUGAGUAACGCGUGAGGAAUCUGCCUUUGAGCGGGGGACAACAUUUGGAAACGAAUGCUAAUACCGCAUAAAAACUUUAAACACAAGUUUUAAGUUUGAAAGAUGCAAUUGCAUCACUGAAAGAUGAUCCCGCGUUGUAUUAGCUAGUUGGUGAGGAAAAGGCUCACCAAGGCGAUGAUACAUAGCCGACAGGGGAGGGUGGUCGGCCACAUUGGGACGGAGAAACGGCCCAAACUCCUACGGGAGGCAGCAGUAGGGAAUCUUCGGCAAUGGACGAAAGUCUGACCGAGCAAGGCCGCGUGAGUGAAGAAGGUUUUCGGAUCGUAAAACUCUGGUGGUAGAGAAGAACGUUGGUGAGAGUGGAAAGCUCAUCAAGUGACGGUAACUACCCAGAAAGGGACGGCUAACUACGUGCCAGCAGCCGCCGCCG
RNAcentral lists this ribosomal RNA (513 nucleotides) under uncultured bacterium. Its description in RNAcentral is "partial 16S ribosomal RNA". It matches the Rfam family "Bacterial small subunit ribosomal RNA", at positions 28 to 523 of the family's 1533-position model. The record is from RNAcentral.